ACUCCUACGGGAGGCAGCAGUGAGGAAUAUUGCACAAUGGAGGAAACUCUGAUGCAGCAACGCCGCGUGGAGGAUGACGCAUUUCGGUGUGUAAACUCCUUUUAUAAGAGAAGAAAAUGACGGUAUCUUAUGAAUAAGUCCCGGCUAACUCCGUGCCAGCAGCCGCGGUAAUACGGAGGGGACAAGCGUUAUUCGGAAUCACUGGGCGUAAAGGACGCGUAGGCGGGUUAUUAAGUCGGGUGUGAAAUCCAAUGGCUCAACCAUUGAACUGCAUUCGAAACUGAUAACCUAGAGUAUGGAAGGGGCAGGUGGAAUUAGUGGUGUAGGGGUAAAAUCCGUAGAUAUCACUAGGAAUACCGAAAGCGAAGGCGACCUGCUGGGACAUUACUGACGCUGAGGCGUGAAAGCGUGGGGAGCAAACAGGAUUAGAUACCCUGGUAGUCCACGCCCUAAACGAUGAAUGCUAGUCGUCGGGGAGCUAGUCUCUUCGGUGAUGCACUUAACAGAUUAAGCAUUCCGCCUGGGGAGUACGGUCGCAAGAUUAAAACUCAAAGGAAUAGGCGGGGACCCGCACAAGUGGUGGAGCAUGUGGUUUAAUACGAAGAUACGCGAAGAACCUUACCUAGCCUUGACACUGAUUGAAUUUUCCAGAGAUGGANAAGUGCCUUUCGGGGAACAUGAAAACAGGUGCUGCACGGCUGUCGUCAGCUCGUGUCGUGAGAUGUUGGGUUAAGUCCCGCAACGAGCGCAACCCUCGUCGUUAGUUGCUAACAGGUUAAGCUGAGCACUCUAGCGAGACUGCCUUCGCAAGGNAGNANGAAGGUGAGGACGACNUCAAGUCAUCAUGGCCCUUAUGGCUAGGGCUACACNCGUGCUACAAUGGGGGCGUACAGAGAGUUGCGAUACCGCGAGGUGGAGCCAAUCUCAUAA
This 930-nucleotide ribosomal RNA is filed under the name uncultured bacterium. RNAcentral describes it as "bacterial SSU rRNA". It matches the Rfam family "Bacterial small subunit ribosomal RNA", at positions 335 to 1279 of the family's 1533-position model. The record is from RNAcentral.